AGUUUAACCAAACUCCCCCUAUCAAUAUGCCAUUAAUCGAACACUUGGAUUAUCCCAAAUCCAAGUAACAUUCAUCACAUGUUAUGAAAAACAUUUAAACUAUCAUGCAAAUAUAAAAUAUUCAAUUCAAUGCAUGAAGUCAUCAAUAUACUUCUCCCCCUAUGUCAUCAACAAAAAGGAGAAGUAGCUCUAGCUAUUUUAAAAUAUAUUCAAGUUUUUA
RNAcentral lists this long non-coding RNA (220 nucleotides) under Musa acuminata (dwarf banana). RNAcentral's name for it is "long non-coding RNA (MACU_LNC007279)". The record is from RNAcentral. Lineage: Eukaryota; Viridiplantae; Streptophyta; Magnoliopsida; Zingiberales; Musaceae.